CGGGGGGGGGGGGGUCCCUCAGCCCAGAUUGUGAGAGGGUACAGGCCAGGCCAAGGGACCCCACAGGUGCACA
This 73-nucleotide microRNA precursor is filed under the name Myotis lucifugus (little brown bat). Its description in RNAcentral is "mir-9193 microRNA precursor family". It matches the Rfam family "mir-9193 microRNA precursor family". The record is from Rfam by way of RNAcentral. Lineage: Eukaryota; Metazoa; Chordata; Mammalia; Chiroptera; Vespertilionidae.